RNAcentral lists this ribosomal RNA (253 nucleotides) under uncultured bacterium. Its description in RNAcentral is "partial 16S ribosomal RNA". It matches the Rfam family "Bacterial small subunit ribosomal RNA", at positions 524 to 776 of the family's 1533-position model. The record is from RNAcentral.
UACAGGGGGUGCAAACGUUGCUCGGAAUUAUUGGGCGUAAAGCGCGCGUAGGUGGCUACUUAAGUCGGAUGUGAAAGCCCCUGGCUCAACUGGGGAAGUGCACCCGAAACUGAAUGGCUUGAGUGCGAAAGAGGGUCGCGGAAUUCCCGGUGUAGAGGUGAAAUUCGUAGAUAUCGGGAGGAACACUGGUGGCGAAGGCGGCGACCUGGGUCGACACUGACGCUGAGGCGCGAAAGCGUGGGGAGCAAACAGG